This 421-nucleotide RNase P RNA is filed under the name Corynebacterium sp. RNAcentral's name for it is "RNase P RNA component class A". It matches the Rfam family "Bacterial RNase P class A". From Rfam's summary of the family: Ribonuclease P (RNase P) is a ubiquitous endoribonuclease, found in archaea, bacteria and eukarya as well as chloroplasts and mitochondria. Its best characterised activity is the generation of mature 5'-ends of tRNAs by cleaving the 5'-leader elements of precursor-tRNAs. The record is from RNAcentral. Lineage: Bacteria; Bacillati; Actinomycetota; Actinomycetes; Mycobacteriales; Corynebacteriaceae.
UGAGCCGACCGGGCGAUUGCGGCCACCCGAACCACCACUAGCACGGCGGUAAGCGGGUUGCCGAGGAAAGUCCGGACUCCACAGAGCACGGUGGUUGCUAACAGCAACCCAGGGUAACCUGCGGGAAAGUGCAACAGAAAGUAAACCGCCCGGCCCCCUGGGCCAGGUAAGGGUGAAACGGUGUGGUAAGAGCACACCAGCGAGGUAGGUGACUACCCCGGCUAUGUAAACCCCACCCGGAGCAAGGCAAGAAUAGUGUACUCGACUACCAAGCCAAGUACGCUUGGGCAAACGCUACUGGGCUGCUCGCCCAAAGUUUGCAGGUAGCCGCUUGAGGCUGUCAGCAAUGACACGCCCAGAUGGAUGAUCGCCACCGCACAAAACUGCGGCACAGAAUCCGGCUUACAGGUUGGCUCAAUUG